This 117-nucleotide ribosomal RNA is filed under the name Bifidobacterium phasiani. Lineage: Bacteria; Bacillati; Actinomycetota; Actinomycetes; Bifidobacteriales; Bifidobacteriaceae. The record is from RNAcentral.
UGCGGCGGCCAUGGCCCAGGUGAGACGCCCGGUCCCAUUCCGAACCCGGAAGCUAAGGCCUGGCACGGCGAUGGUACUGCACCCGAUGGGGUGUGGGAGAGUAGCACGCCGCCGCAU